Molecule: ribosomal RNA, 356 nt
Filed under: uncultured bacterium
Lineage: Bacteria
Description: bacterial SSU rRNA
Rfam family: Bacterial small subunit ribosomal RNA
Source: RNAcentral
AGAACGUUAUUAGUAGGAAAUGGCUAAUAAGUGACGGUACCUUACCAGAAAGGGACGGCUAACUACGUGCCAGCAGCCGCGGUAAUACGUAGGUCCCGAGCGUUAUCCGGAAUUAUUGGGCGUAAAGGGCACGUAGGCGGACAAAUAAGUUUGAUGUCAAAUAUGAUGGCUCAACCAUCAAGAGGCGUUGAAAACUGUUUAUCUAGAAUCUCGGAGAGGUAAGUGGAAUUCCAUGUGUUAGCGGUGGAAUGCGUAGAUAUAUGGAGGAACACCAAUGGCGAAGGCAGCUUACUGGACGAAGAUUGACGCUGAGGUGCGAAAGCGUGGGUAGCAAACAGGAUUAGAUACCCUGGUAG